RNAcentral lists this ribosomal RNA (606 nucleotides) under Patulibacter sp. RG55-125. Its description in RNAcentral is "bacterial SSU rRNA". It matches the Rfam family "Bacterial small subunit ribosomal RNA", at positions 55 to 664 of the family's 1533-position model. The record is from RNAcentral. Lineage: Bacteria; Bacillati; Actinomycetota; Thermoleophilia; Solirubrobacterales; Patulibacteraceae.
AUGCAGUGGAGCGACGACCGGGGCUUGCCCCGGGGCAGAGCCGCGAACGGGUUAGAAAUCGUGGGUUACCUGCCCCGAUGACUGGGACAACCCGUCGAAAGACGGGCUAAUACCGGAUGUGCCCUUCGGGGGAAAGGAAGCUUCGGCCUCCGCAUCGGGAUGGGCCUGCGGCGCAUUAGCUUGUUGGUGGGGUAAUGGCCUACCAAGGCUUCGAUGCGUAGCUGGUCUGAGAGGACGAUCAGCCACACUGGGACUGAGACACGGCCCAGACUCCUACGGGAGGCAGCAGUGGGGAAUCUUGCACAAUGCGCGAAAGCGUGAUGCAGCAACGCCGCGUGCGGGAAGAAGGCCUUAGGGUUGUAAACCGCUUUCAGUUGGGACGAAGCUUCGCUGGUUAAGAGCUGGUUGGAGUGACGGUACCUUCAGAAGAAGCGCCGGCUAACUACGUGCCAGCAGCCGCGGUAAUACGUAGGGCGCGAGCGUUGUCCGGAAUCAUUGGGCGUAAAGCGCGUGUAGGCGGCUGAGUAAGUCUGCUGUGAAAGUCCAAGGCUCAACCUUGGAAUGUCGGCGGAUACUGCUCAGCUGGAGUACGGGAGGGGCGAGUGG